AUCACAUGAAGGGUAAAUAUCUGAUUUACCAAUUAGUUUAAAAUGUAAAAAAAUCAUAAUUAAUAUUAGGGCAGACCUUAUUUUGUCAUUCUUUUAUACCAAUGUUUAUACAUAGGAAAGCUAACCCAACCUUAAUCCCUCACAUUGCUACAAAACAUGAUGAAUCUAUUAAAGAUAAGCAAAAAAAUAAUGACGAAUAAACAAACGCCUUGCCCGUUCUAGAGUUACUCGUAGCCAAAAUAAUAAAGAACUACGCUUGAAAUUAACUCCUCUGGAAUUGCCUCCAAAUGAUAUUUCUAUCACCACUACCACAAUCCCUAUGCAACCUCUGCCUAUUUUUUAAAAAAUAUAAGCAUUCAAUUCCGUACUAUUAUUCAUUUCACUAGGAGUUAUUAUAAAUAUUACUUUAUCCGAUUCUCUGAGAAACUUUCAUGAUUAUUUAGAGGAAUGUUCAAACUUGAAUGUGCAGUACAGCCAUUUUCAUCAACUUUAUUAAUGGAAAAAUAUGCAGUAAUUCUGUCGUGCCUUUAUAACAAUUCUUACUGCGUUUUUAUGGCUGAGUUAACAUUGUCAUUUAUGAUUCUAUUCUAGAGGAAACUACCAAUGCUGACAUUGACAGAAAUAUCAUUUUGGGUUCUUCUUUUACCAGUAUCCCAAGGCAUAGGCAUAUGACUCAUCUUUACCAGGACGUAUUGUGUUUUGUACACUUCUCUUGAAUCCGUCAUUACUUUCAUCUACAACCCUAAAUGAUAUGAAAUUGUACAUUAAUUAUUUCCUUUCCAGACAACCUUCCAGAUUUAUUUUGUAGCUUUUUCCAUCAAAAAUUAAAAUGUCAACAAUUAUUUGCUCUUAAUUUUAUCAAAUACACAACAUUAUAAUUAUUCCUCAUUAUUUUUUAAAAAAAUUAGCCUAACUUUAUAUGUCAAUAAAAAAUAUUUUAUAAUUU
Long non-coding RNA from Gordionus sp. m RMFG-2023, 946 nucleotides. RefSeq lists it as uncharacterized. The transcript is spliced from 3 exons. NCBI's taxonomy places the organism in Eukaryota, Metazoa, Nematomorpha, Gordioida, Chordodea, Parachordodidae. The record is from RefSeq and is a predicted model, not a curated record.